AUUAAAAAACCCUGCAAAUAAAAAGAAACAGAAACGCCGUGCAAAUAAAAACGCCGUGAUGCAAAUAAAAAAGCCACAACGGAAGUGAAUUACCGGGGACUAUUAUUGCUGAUGCACAUGCGGUUUUUUAUGCGAGAGAAGAAGAAGUCUGGGGGAUCUCCAGGAAACAUCUCUUGGAUUCAGAAUUCACCCUCAGUGGAGAUCCUUCAGGACUUGAUGAUACGGAACAGUGCCAUGUUGCAGACUGCUGGGUGCUUCAGACAUGUCAGGUCAUGUGAAGAAAAAAAAUGAUUGUAGAGGAUUACCUGAAGUGGUACAUAAUCCACAGGAACAACACUGCAAUCGAAAGAUUCAAGGCUGGACUUGAAAGUUUGCAGUUUCUGACAGCUCUGCAGCAGCAUCCGACGGUUCUGACCCCUGCUCUCUGUCAUGCCGAUGUGAAGCUGUCUGCUGCAGAGAUGGAAAAUCUGUUCCAGCCUGAAUUUAGUCAACAGGGAAGCAACAGAAGGGCUCAGGAAGAGAAAGCUAUGAGUUACUGGGCAGACUAUCUUCUCGAUUGUGAAGAAAAUGACAGCUCAGUGACCUUGGAGGAGGUGUUAAUGUUCGCUACAGGUGUGCCAUGUGUGCCUCCUGCUGGUAUGAGUCCUCUGCCACGCCUUCAAUUCCUAUGUUCUACAACGUCAACAUUCCCAAUGGCAAAUACCUGUGCCAACAUUUUAAAGCUUCCUCUUUUGGACACUUAUGGUGCCUUCAAAGCCAACAUGAACUUUGGCAUUAAUAAUUCCCCCGGCUUUGGGUGCCUUUAAACAAUUAAAUAACUUGUGGUAAAAGUUAAUGUUGCCACACACAGUCCGUUGUUUUAAUGUUGCGGUCUGUCCGACCAAAAUGUUGUGACGUAAGAGAGAUGAGUAUUUUUCAUGGCAGAUUUGUCCUAUUUCAUAUCUAACAUGUGAACAACACCACACAUUUGUAUUGUAUUGUUAUUGUAUUCUCGUUAGGUAGGUAAGGUAGACCGUGGUUAAAUCAAGAGUUCAGAACAUGUGUUAAGAUGUUUUACAAAUAUUUACAUAAACAGUAAAUAAAGACUGCAAAAGGCACCUUGUCGUGCAAAUGUGCCAAUUUUGUUUUGGCCAUUUGAUCAUGUUUUUACAUGGACUUUGUGAAAGAGUAAAGCUGAAUGACUCUUCAUUAAA
Gymnodraco acuticeps is the source of this 1193-nucleotide long non-coding RNA. RefSeq lists it as uncharacterized. Lineage: Eukaryota; Metazoa; Chordata; Actinopteri; Perciformes; Bathydraconidae. The record is from RefSeq and is a predicted model, not a curated record. The transcript has 4 exons.